Molecule: ribosomal RNA, 274 nt
Filed under: uncultured bacterium
Lineage: Bacteria
Description: partial 16S ribosomal RNA
Rfam family: Bacterial small subunit ribosomal RNA
Source: RNAcentral
AUACGGAGGGGACUAGCGUUGUUCGGAAUUACUGGGCGUAAAGAGUUCGUAGGCGGACUGAUAAGUAAGAGGUGAAAUCCCAGGGCUCAACCCUGGAACUGCCUUUUAAACUGUCAGUCUAGAGACCGGAAGAGGUUAGGGGAAUACCUAGUGUAGAGGUGAAAUUCGUAGAUAUUAGGUGGAACACCAGUGGCGAAGGCGCCUAACUGGUCCGGUACUGACGCUGAGGAACGAAAGCGUGGGGAGCAAACAGAAUUAGAUACCCUAGUAGUCC